RNAcentral lists this microRNA precursor (105 nucleotides) under Cricetulus griseus (Chinese hamster). RNAcentral describes it as "miRNA (ENSCGRG00001005031.1)". The record is from RNAcentral. Lineage: Eukaryota; Metazoa; Chordata; Mammalia; Rodentia; Cricetidae.
UGUCUCAAGAGAUGAGACAAGGGCUGGAGAGAUGGCUCAGAGGUUAAGAACACUGACUGCUUUUCCAGAGGUCCUGAGUUCAAUUCCCAGCAACCACAUGGUGAC